AGCGGAGGAAAAGAAACCAACAGGGAUUGCCCUAGUAACGGCGAGUGAAGCGGCAACAGCUCAAAUUUGAAAUCUGGCGCAAGCCCGAGUUGUAAUUUGCAGAGGAUGCUUCUGGGCAGCGGCCGUUCUAAGUUCCUUGGAACAGGACGUCAUAGAGGGUGAGAAUCCCGUAUGUGACCGGCGCGCACCCUCCACGUAGCUCCUUCGACGAGUCGAGUUGUUUGGGAAUGCAGCUCUAAAUGGGAGGUAAAUUUCUUCUAAAGCUAAAUACCGGCCAGAGACCGAUAGCGCACAAGUAGAGUGAUCGAAAGAUGAAAAGCACUUUGGAAAGAGAGUUAAAAAGCACGUGAAAUUGUUGAAAGGGAAGCGCUUACAACCAGACUCCGCGGCGGUGUUCCGCCGGUCUUCUGACCGGUCCACUCGCCGCCGCGGGGCCAACAUCGUCUGGGGCCGCCGGAUAAGAACGCGGGAAUGUGGCUCCCUCGGGAGUGUUAUAGCUCGCGGUGAUACGGCGCGUCUCGGGCGAGGUCCGCGCUUCGGCAAGGAUGUUGGCGUAAUGGUUGUCAGCGGCCCGUCUUGA
RNAcentral lists this ribosomal RNA (580 nucleotides) under Periconiella machilicola. Its description in RNAcentral is "eukaryotic LSU rRNA". It matches the Rfam family "Eukaryotic large subunit ribosomal RNA", at positions 49 to 657 of the family's 3401-position model. Lineage: Eukaryota; Fungi; Ascomycota; Dothideomycetes; Mycosphaerellales; Mycosphaerellaceae. The record is from RNAcentral.